Molecule: ribosomal RNA, 527 nt
Filed under: uncultured bacterium
Lineage: Bacteria
Description: bacterial SSU rRNA
Rfam family: Bacterial small subunit ribosomal RNA
Source: RNAcentral
UUGACAUACUAAGAACUUUCCAGAGAUGGAUUGGUGCCUUCGGGAACUUAGAUACAGGUGCUGCAUGGCUGUCGUCAGCUCGUGUCGUGAGAUGUUGGGUUAAGUCCGCAACGAGCGCAACCCUUUUCCUUAUUUGCCAGCGGGUAAUGCCGGGAACUUUAAGGAUACUGCCAGUGACAAACUGGAGGAAGGCGGGACGACGUCAAGUCAUCAUGGCCCUUACGGCCAGGGCUACACACGUGCUACAAUGGUCGGUACAAAGGGUUGCUACCUCGCGAGAGGAUGCUAAUCUCAAAAAGCCGAUCGUAGUCCGGAUCGCAGUCUGCAACUCGACUGCGUGAAGUCGGAAUCGCUAGUAAUCGCGGAUCAGAAUGCCGCGGUGAAUACGUUCCCGGGCCUUGUACACACCGCCCGUCACACCAUGGGAGUUUGUUGCACCAGAAGUAGGUAGUCUAACCGCAAGGAGGACGCUUACCACGGUGUGGCCGAUGACUGGGGUGAAGUCGUAACAAGGUAGGCGUAGAUGA